This 395-nucleotide ribosomal RNA is filed under the name bacterium. Its description in RNAcentral is "bacterial SSU rRNA". It matches the Rfam family "Bacterial small subunit ribosomal RNA", at positions 410 to 794 of the family's 1533-position model. The record is from RNAcentral.
GAAGGCUUUCGGGUCGUAAAACUCUUGUUGUUAGGGAAGAACAAGUGCUAGUUGAAUAAGCUUGGCACCUUGACGGUACCUAACCAGAAAGCCACGGCUAACUACGUGCCAGCAGCCGCGGUAAUACGUAGGUGGCAAGCGUUAUCCGGAAUUAUUGGGCGUAAAGCGCGCGCAGGUGGUUUCUUAAGUCUGAUGUGAAAGCCCACGGCUCAACCGUGGAGGGUCAUUGGAAACUGGGAGACUUGAGUGCAGAAGAGGAAAGUGGAAUUCCAUGUGUAGCGGUGAAAUGCGUAGAGAUAUGGAGGAACACCAGUGGCGAAGGCGACUUUCUGGUCUGUAACCGACACUGAGGCGCGAAAGCGUGGGGAGCAAACAGGAUUAGAUACCCCGGUAGU